This 23683-nucleotide long non-coding RNA is filed under the name Manihot esculenta (cassava). RNAcentral's name for it is "long non-coding RNA (MESC_LNC003824)". The record is from RNAcentral. Lineage: Eukaryota; Viridiplantae; Streptophyta; Magnoliopsida; Malpighiales; Euphorbiaceae.
UUUAGGAAGAACCACCUUUUUCUCCUUCAUUUGUAUUGCACACACAAACAAAUACAUUCUCAUGGAGACAAUAGAAAGACAGAGAGAUUCUUGAACAAUAUGAAUUUAAUUUUAAAGGAUUUAUUACUUUGUUCAGUGUUGCAGUCAUGACAAGAGCUUUCCCUGACUAUUCAGCAAGCAAGAAGGACCUUAUACUUUUGCAAAAUAUAGCAAGUUAUAUGCUUCUUGCUUGUGGUGUUGUCUAUCUUGUUUCGGUAAGAUAACAAAAAUAAGUAUUUACCCCCUACUUUUAACUUAACUUUUUUGGAGUUUGAAGAAACUUUUAUCUCAGGUUAUAUGAUGAUGAAUUUCCUUUCUGUUACCUGAGAACUUUUAUCAAGCAAUGGCCAACCACCACAACCAGUCUACGAGUUAUUUUGAUUUUUAUUUUGCUGUAAUUUUUCAUGUGUUUUAGUUCAGUUCUAAUACUCAAGACAUACGUAUCUUGACUUAUUUCACUCGAAAAGUAAAUCAUAAUUAAUACACUUUCAAUUUCCAGGGAGUUCUAUGCAUUGGUUUUCUUAAACGUGCUCGCCAGCAGAAGGAAAUUACAAGGGAGCAGGCAGUCAAGGAUCUGGAGGUAAGUUAAACAUUACCUUAAAAACAAAUGAUAGGUUAUAAAACUUGUAAUAGGUCCCAUUAGGGCUUUUGUUUGCGACUCACUUCCGAGUUUGCAUAUGUUUACUGUUACUCUGAAUUAUGCAAUUAUGCUUUAUUUGUGAAAUCAUAUUGUAGAUGUCAUGGCAUGGUUUGGAAUUUUUUUUUAGAGAUAAAAGGAAAUAGGUGUUCUUAGAGCUCAAUAAAUGCCUCGUUCACUAUGCUCAUUGUCUGCAAGUAAAGAUAUAGUCCUCACCUGCUAACCUAGGAUGUAGGAUGUUAAAUGUAGGUCAGCAUGAUGAUGAUGAUGAAUUACAUGAUUUUACUUGGUUUCUUCAAUAUUUUUAUUUUCAUGCAAUCCCUAAAAUGAGAACCAUAUGUUUCACUCAUUCUGAUAAGACUAUCAAAAUAAGUAAAAAAGUUUGUUCUCUCUAAAACUCUUACAUGCUGUGAGCAAUAAUUACAAAUCACAAGGGUGAAUGUGGAAAAUUUCUCAUGAGAAAGAGUAAAAUUAUGCUGUUUAUGGUGAUCAAUAACUAAGGUCUGUACUAAGGUGACAGCAUUUGGGGGUUAGAAUUUACUUUUACAAACCAUUGUUCAAAACAGUGCACAAGAUAAUUCCAAGUAUACUGUGAUUUGCCACACACCAGGUAGUGCGAAUAUGCAUCUGUUUUUAUUAGACUCUUAAAAGGAAAAUUAAUUUUUUAAUGUAUACCUGUGAAGACAGAGUCUUUAACUAUUAUUUUUGUAUAUCAACUAACAUGAAUUAAAAUCACAGCAAUUGGAGCGGCGAAGGGAGGAACUCGAACAACUGCUUCUGGCUGAAAGAGUUUGAUGCCAUUUGUAUGAGUAUUUUUGUUCAGAUGGAUGAAAAUACUGAAAUGACUUCAACAAAUUUCAGUUAUGUAAAUAUAAUGUUGUUAUGCUGAUGUCAUUUCAUUGAUUGAUUCUAUUAGAUGUUUUUGAUGCAGGAGUAUAAUAUUUUUUAGAGUCUGAUAGUUCACGUGAAAGGCAGAAUUGAUUCAAUUCUUUUUCCUUUCCUUUUUUUUUUUUUUUUUUUAAAUAUUUGUGUUUCCGAUUGGUUAGGUCAUCAUUGUUGAUGUAUUUUAUUAUCCAGUGUAUUGCAUAUUCAAUUAAGAUUGCACUUGAUAUUUUCUGUGUGCCUACACGUCUACAAAUCACCUGCCUUGCUGGGAAUUGUGGCAAAUGCAUCUUAUCAUUGAUCACUAACCGUUACUUUUCGUUAUUUUAACACUUCAUUUGGAAUUAAAAAUUUAAUUUAAUUGAUUUCUUUCAUAAUUUUAGGUGUUAAUAUUUAACAUGGAGUUCCAAGCCAAGGGAGUAUUGUUGUGUGUUCUUUAGUAACAAAAGAAAAAAAAAUCAUUAGGGUUAGAUGGUAGAUGACAUGACUAUAAUUUGGCCUAUCAGGCUAGUGGGAAAAAAAAACGAAUGGUAAGUGUUUUAUACACUAUUUCGUUUACAAAAAUUAAUUUUCAUAGAAAUAAAACUUAAUCAUGAAUCUCUCGUUUAAUAUGCUGUUGGUAUGAUUCAUUUAAAAAAAAUUAAUAAAGUUUUAUAAAAUUAUAUAAGUUAAAAGAAUUGAAUUUUUUUAAUUCUUAAUUUUAAAAUUGAGAAUUCUAUUAAAUUGUGUCAAUCCCUAUGCAUUGUUCUUGAAUCUAAUUGCAAGCAGAUUGGUAGUUGAUUGCUUGUUUCUCUAUGUGGGAGAUUGAAAGACAAUGAACCGCAGCUAGCUAUGGAUAUCAAUAAUGCUUUUUUCACAUCUCCGGUGUCACUUACUCUAAGAGCUCUUACUCGCAAGGCAAAGUAAAAAGCCCUUUGCUUUGCAACCCAAACUCUUCUUCUGCCAUAUUGCUUGGCAACAAAUUUCCAAGACAAAAAAAACUUAAAUAAUAUUCAUUAAUUACAUUAAAAUUUAAAAACUAAAAUAUACUUUAUCCUAAAAAAUCUCAUUCUAACUUUUUGCACAUGUGUAAAUAGCUAAAAUACUCAAGACUUUGUUCUGUAUCACUCUGUCACAAAGUAAAUAUCAGAUCCUGAAAUAAAAAAAUACGAGAAGCUUUUAAUUCUUUAUAUUUAAAAAAAAAUGCAAAAUCCAUAAUGGGGUUUACGAAAUUUAUCCAAAAUAUUGCAGCAUUUCAAACGGGGAGCUCUGCCUCUCCUCCCUGUGCACUGAAGAUGCAUGAUCAUAAGCUCCUUCAACAGGCAUAGGCUGAUUUGAAGAGUUAGGUUGAACAUCAAAUUCUCUAGUACUUUUCUCAGCAGCUGCAGGUUCGAGCAAAAGACUGGAUUCCUCAGCUAUCACUAAAAGAUAACCAUCCAUGUCGACCGUCACCACGUAGUUAAUAUCAGAAACUUGAUUCCCACAUCCAAAUACAGGUUUCUCAGUUGGCACAUAAAGAUGAUCAUUCAUGGUGGUUGUCUGGAUGCUGUUAAUAUCCCAAACUUGAUCCCCACGUCCAUGGAUGAGUUCCUGACCAGUUGGCAUUAAAAGAUGAUCAUUCAUGGCGGCCUUCUGCAUGGAGUUAAUAUUCCAAACUUGAUCCCCACAUCCAUACAUGGGUUGAAAGCCAUUGCUAUAAUGAGAAGGAGGUUGACAUAUUUGGAUUGGUUGCACAUUAUAGGCAAAGUUGUUGUUGAAUGUGUUGUUCAUUGGCGGAGGAUCAUUGUCAACGUUAUCCAAGAUUGGCUGAGGAGGAUCAGACCAAAGAGGAGGAAGCAAAUAAGACCCAUAACCAUUCUCGUAUUCUUGGGAAAUCAUCAAAGAAUUAUCACACAGUAGAGGUUGUGCGGUGGAAACAUCAUCAGCUUUUGGAAUUUCUGUUUCAGCAAUAUUUACAGUUCCCCAUCUUCAUCGUUCUUGUUUUUCUUAUCUUCUGCUUUGUUGCUGUAGAUCUUGCAUAGAACCCAUUCAUCCAACUAACCCACAAAAAAUAUAAACACAUAAAAAUUAUUUUUUUUUUCUAGUUAAGAUAAUUUAUCUAUAGUUAACAUAAUUGAUCUAUAAUUACAAGAAUUUUUAAAAUUUAUAUUAAAAUAUUGGCAUGGAAAAUCUCAUUAAUCAUUCAGCUAAAGAAAAAUUUAUUAUAAUAUCUUUAAAAUUUUAAAAAAUUUAAUAAUUAAUCACUCUAUUAAUUUAAUUUCAAUAGGACUAAACGAUGGAUAUUUUUUUUUAUAAUUAAUGAAUGAAUAAAAUGUUAAAACUGUGAGAAAAAUUAAUUAAUAAAAUUUUUAAAAUUUUGAAGAUGUUUUAAUAUAUUUUAUAAAAUAUGUGAAGAAACUAAUGAAAUGAACUAAAUAAUAAAUUUUUUUAAAGAAAAAAAUGAUGAAUACCUGCUUAGGAUGCAGUGGGUUUUUGCCUCUGGCCGUAGCGCCUGAAGGAACAAGGCUUUGAUGAAGAAGAUAUUCAUGCAUCUUCCAGUUGGUUUUGGUUCCAUCACGCUGCCUCCCCUCAUAAUAGUCCAAAGACUUUCUGAAUCCCAGAGGUUUUUUUCCAUCUAGGAUUGCUUUAUCAGUUCCUGUAGCCUUCCAAUAUCCUAAUUCCCCUGCGUUUCGUUUCGGUCUAGAUCCAUUCGGGUACUUUUUCUCCCUACUCGUGAAAAAAUACCACUGGCUUUCUCUUUCUCUAUUCAGUUUAUAGGUUUCUGCAGCAAAACAAAGAAACCAACCCCCCCAAAAAAAAAAAAAAAAAAUUACAUUAUUGAAGAAGAAGAAGAAGGACAUGCAUGUACGUGCAUGCAAAAUUAAUACGACGUACCUGUGAGCUGUUGAGGGCUAUAGUUAUAUAAAUCAACCACAUGAAUCCUAUUGGGAGGCAAGUGUUCAUUGCUGAUCUUUCUCAGUAAAUAAUCACGAAUCAGCUCAUCAUCACUAGGAGCGAAUCGAUACCCAACAGGUAACGAGUUGAAAUAUCCUUUGUUCUUGUUCUGAUUUUGUUCUUGUUCUGAUUUUGUUCCAUUAGAUCGACAACAAACACAAAAUCAGAGAAGGGUUUUUGAUGAACGUAUGUGUUAUGUGUGGGUGUUGAAAUAUUUAUAUGUUUGUUUCGAAUUUUUCAGACCAUUACUCAGAAAAAUUAGGUUUCCUUCUCUUAACGGAAAUAUUCAUGAGGAAGUGUAAUUAGAUUAGGAACAGGAUUUUGAAAUAAUAUAGAGUUGUGGAAGGAUUAGAAUUACUUAUUGAAAUAUUUUCAUUUUAUAUUUUCUUUUUUUUUUUUUUUAAUUUUUUUAUUNNNNNNNNNNNNNNNNNNNNNNNNNNNNNNNNNNNUUAAUAUUUCCACUUAGUAUUAAACUGGUCUAAUAGCUCUUCUUCUGCCAUUUCGAAUAGCUCUCGGAUGAUUUGGUUAUGGAGGUAGUGACAUAAGUCUGCUUCAUGGAGCUCUCACAGUGCAGGAAUAGAUGAGAAUCAAACUAUUAAUUUUGAAUUAAUAAAAUUAAAUUAAAAUAAUUUGGGAAACCUGGAAAAAAAAAAAAACUACUGGACUUCAUCAGAAAAAAGCUUCUUUUUUUGUAAAAAUAAUUUGAGAGUGAUGAAAAAGAAGAUUGAUGAUUGAUGAUAAAAUCAUAUAAUUUUUCUUUGAACCCUUAAUUUGAAUUUGGUAUUGGAAUUUGAAUGAAGAAAAAUCAGUAAUGAUAAAAGUUCUUAUGAUGAGAAGGAAACAAAGAGAAGAAAAUCCAAGCCAUCAGAAUCACCAAUAUCAUUGGAUUCCCACUAUGCAAAAGCCUAAUAUGAGGUAUGCUUAAUUUUCCCUGGAAUUACAAAAAUCUGCAUUACCCUCUCGCUAAAAAUAGAUUGAAUUAUUAGGCUUCCAGUGAUGUCGUUGCAAUUUGUAACCUAUCUAAUCACUCCACAGCCAGAGAGAGAGCUCAAUUCUAGGAAUUUUAUUCGAAAUUUGCCAUUUCAUUGCCAAUUUCAAAAGUUUCUGGUUACUGAUCAUCUUGUUAAUCUAUAAGAACUGAAAGUUGGGAGGGAAAUAGAGAAAGAAACCUCUAGAUUCUAAAAUGCUGAAUGCAAGUUGUUUGAUGGGCAUAAGGGAAAGUAUGUGACUUGGUUAUAUAUUUGCAAGGAUAGACAAUCCAUUUCAUGGAGCUCCCACAAGGCAGGGGUGCAUGAAAGCAAAACCAUGUGAUAGGUGGUUGUGAAAGCUCGUUUACAAGGUUGGCAUGUUUAACAAUUAACCCCUCAAGUUUGAGACUAAGCAUGUAAUAUAUACAUGCUUCUGUCUAGUGGUUUACCAGCAAAUAAGAAUGGAGCUUGGAAAGCUAAGCCUCUGACGAAUGGAGCAGUUCUUGUACUUGCCUGCUUCUGUUGCUGCAAAGAGUCAAAGAAGGAACUGUGUUUUUGACUUUGAUGGGAUUGGAAUAUUCUAAUUAUGGGUAUAUGGGUACAUGAACUUGAUCAGACAGUUAAAAGAAAAAAAGAAGACAAGAUUUCUGAUAAAAAAUCUGAUUUGUACAUGAACUCUUCAGAAGCUACAAAUGGGUAUUUGAUGGUUUGUUCUUUGAUGUUGAAGAUUGGAAGACAAAGAACAGAAACUACUAGCUAUGGAAGUCAGUAAUGCUUUUUCUAUGUCUCUGGUGACCUGCUGUUUGAUCAGAGUGAUUGCAUAUUCUAUGAGCUCAGCCUCGCAUGGUAAUGUGAGAGGUCCCGUGCUUUGUGAUCCGAACUCUUCUUAUGCCAUUUCGAAUAGUUCUAGGAUGAUUUGGUUGUUGAGGCAUUGAAGAGGAAGCAAAAGGCGCUUUUGAUCUGAAGAGUGCACAACAAAACAACCCUUUUCAGCUUUUGCUGCUGAUGUGCAGCAGGAGUUUCUUGUAUCUGUGUUUCCAACGGUUUGUGGGAGUGUGAUUCUUUUUCGCCUCAUUUCUUGCCAUUUUGGGGAGCUUCUUGGGACUGAUCGUCCUGUUAUUACUCUAUAAAGGCAAAGACCUAUGGAGAAACUGUGCUUCUAAAAGUACUAGAGGAGUGAAAUCUGAAUGCUGAUCUUGUGAUGGGUAGAAGGCAAAGUAGUGGCUCGGUUUUAUAAUCACAAAGGCUAGACAUGAGCCUGUUUCAUGCUGAUCUAUGUUUGAAAAUCAACAUGUCAAGGUGAAGCGUCGGUUUAACAUGUCUCUAUCCUUUGACAAGUGGUUAACCAGCAAAAUAGAUAUCUAAGGUGUGGUGGGCUCAUGAGUCUAUAGCCUAUGUGAAUCAUAAAAACAAAAGAAGAUCAAAGUGGUUGGAACGAUGAGAAUCUAAUUAAAUGGCCGUGUUUUUUUACCCUAUUUCAGUUAUAAAAACUAGCAGAAAAGAAUUUAGAUUUCUAUUAACUUGUAUCAAUUCCAACAAGUUGUUAUCGAAUCUAAUUGCAACUCUUCAAACGCUGGUAGGUAGGGUGAGUAUUUGAUCGGUUCAGUUUGAUAAAAAAUCAAAAUUUUAGUAUAUUAAAAAUUGAAUUAAUUGAUUUUGAAUAAAAUUUGAUUUGAAUAGUGAUGACCGCUGGAUUUCUCCACCCCGGACUUGGGGCAGGCCCAUAUCGUGAGCCCAUCGUUUGGGGGGUUCAAGGCCUCCCCCGUGAGACUGGUCCAGCCCGUCCCCCUCCAGAUCAGACUCCAAUCAGUUUCCUCAAUCAGACCGGCCUAACCUCUUGGGCCCGUUGAACAGAUCCUUCCUGGGCUCAGCCCACGACUUAUCUUCCGGUCUAGUCUGGAAUCAGGAGGGAAACCCACCUGUCCGUCAUGUGAGUCCAUACGCAUGCGCGUCCGGGGAGAAUUAGGGGCCGUUAUGCAUGGGACAGAGAUCCGAUUCCCUCGUACGUCCAUAUCAACGUAGCCGGGACAGGUGGUCCAAUGAUACACGUUCUGCUACACGUCACUAGCUGCCAAAAGGAAACAUAUAAAAGGAGAAAUACUCUCCUCUAGGUCUAAGUUUUUUCCAGUCUUACAGAACCCAUUGUAAAACCCUAUUUUCUGGAUCUCAGAUCAUCAAUUGGUGCCGUCUGUGGGAACGAAGGAGAUCUUUUCAUCGCCAGAGUUCCACUCUCACGAAUACCCACUGAGAUCCACAAUGGCUAACCACAAUGAAAACAACGUCACUCCAAAUGACCUGAGCUCUGCCCAAGAGGGGCAACAAUUCUCCUUUUCUAGUCAUACGACACCAAAUAACCAAACACCAAUCCCUUUCAACCCCUCGCCAAGCCUGGCGGGGAAUGCUUCCGCCGCCACCUUGUCCAACCAAGACCUCCAAACCAUGGCCCUCCAACUACAGAGCACCGCCCACUGGUUGGGGCAGAUAAUGCAACAUCGGGGCCUUAGCACCCCCGCCAACGUGUCACCGGUGGUAGAAGAACCCCAGACCAACGAACCUCAGCCUACCUUCAACCACCCCAGAACUGUCAGCCAAGAAACCGGAGAUGGGAGGAGGAGAGUUGAAGAAGAGGAAGAGCCGGCAGCUCGAGUUCACAAGAGAAGGGCGAGGGAGAUGAUAGAAAAUGAUGAAGUCGAUAGCUACUCCGCCGAAACCACCGGAAGAAUGGGGAGUGAAACAUGGGAAGAGGAGGCUCACCAGGAGAGGAAGCCCAGGCGGGAAGGGGAGAGAGUAGACCAAAAGCUGCAGAAGUUGAGGGAGCAGCUCUUGGCCGAGCUGGGAGCGAAGGAUUAGAACCAAACUCUCCUACCCACUGCUUCACCCUUCUCAAAAUGGGUACAACAGGAGACUGUGCCUAAGAAGUUCAUGAUGCCACCAAUGGUAGCCUAUGACGGGGCUGGGAACCCUAGGGAGCGUGUCUUGAACUACAAGACUUUCAUGGAGCUGCAAACUCUGUCAGACGUCCUGAUGUGCAAGGUAUUUCCUACGACGCUCUCGGGGCCAGCACGGGCGUGGUUCAACAGCCUUGAGGCAGGAAGCAUUGGCAGUUUUGGAGAUCUAGCCACCCACUUCAUCAGCAGGUUUAUUGCCGGGGUGUCUGCGGAUAGGAAGACGAGCUACCUGGAGACAAUCAGGCAAAGGAAAGACGAAUCACUUAGGGAGUACGUCGCUCGUUUCAAUACAGAGGCCCUGCAGAUCUCCGAGCUCGAUGAAGGAAGAGCUGUAGAAGCCAUGCAGAAGGGGACGACCUCAGCAGAGUUCUUUGGCUCGUUGAGCAGGAAGCCUCCGACCUCGCUGGCCGAGCUGAUGAAACGAGCCGAAAAGUAUAUAAGGCAGGACGAUGCUUUGGAGACAAGCAGGUUUGCCAGGGGAGCGACAGAUAAGGGGAAAGAACCGGAGGAGGGAAGGCCGGAGAGGCGCGAGAAAAAGCAUGACAAGAGACCUGAAACGUAUAGACAACCCUGGGAGCGCAGGGACCAAAGACCUUCCCCUCGGGCCUCAGAACCAAGGUCGCUCCCCCCGUGGGUUCCAGAGAAACCGAUCCCUCUCAAUGCCUCUAAAGCCGAAGUGCUCAUGGCCAUCCAAAAUAAGGAGUUCCUCCAGUGGCCCAAGCCUAUGAAAACAGAAUCGAACCAGCGAAAUCCUGACAAAUAUUAUCAGUACCACCGCACGAACGGCCAUGACACCAAUAACUGCUUCCAGUUGAUUGCUGAGAUCGAAAGGCUAAUAAAGAGGGGACACCUCAAGAACUUCAUAAAGAAACCAGAAGAACAAAGGUCUCAGCCAGACCCAACAGGACAGACACUCAGAAGAGAGGGAGCAGGGCAGGAGAAUGACGGAUCCAAUGGGGCCAUCAAUAUGGUCGUUGGAGGAACAAAAGGUUGAAAAAGCUACAGAGGUAUUUUCCUUAGAAAAUUUGUGAAAAGAAAUUCUUGUACUAUAAAAGCACAAAAUAACGCCAUCUUAUAAAUGCAAUGAUUGAACUCUAUUAUUGUGAGCAUUAACUCUCUCAGGAAAAGAAAGAACAGAUAUCAAAAAGACCUCCCGGAGCAUAGAAGGCUGGCGGGAUCACAAAAAAAUCUCCCCGGAACAAAAACGGCCGGCGAGGAUCUCAAAAAGACCUCCCGGAGCAAAAACGGUCAGGAUCUCGUAAGAUCUCCUGGAGCAAAAACGGCCGGCGAGGAUCUCAAAAAGACCUCCCAGAGCAUAGAAGGCCGGCGAGAUCACAAAAAAAUCUCCCUGGAACAAAAACGGCCGGCGAGGAUCUCAAAAAGACCUCCUGGAGCAAAAAUGGCCAGGAUCUCGUAAGAUCUCCUGGAGCAAAAACGGCCGGUGAGGAUCUCAAAAAGACCUCCCGGAGCAAAAACAGCCAGGAUCUUGUAAGAUCUCCUAGAGCAAAAACGGCCGGCGAGGAUCUCAAAAAGACCUCCCGAAGAAAAAACGGCCGGUGAGGAUCUCAAAAAGACCUCCCGAAAUAAAAAGGGCUAGGAUCUCGUAAGAUCUCCUGGAGCAAAAAACGGCCGGCGAGGAUCUCAAAAAGACCUCCCGGAGCAACAAAAACUGGGAUCCCCAGAGAUAUCCCGGUAACACAUGCUCAUAGCAAACAGAGGUACACAACGACCACACGCAAAAACAAAAGUUCCGACCUCACAUAAAAGAUUGGGGCACAGGGCCAUAAAUAAAAAGCUAAAACUCCGACCUCCCGAAAGAGCUCGGAUCAACAGAGCCAAUAAGGCCCCAAUCUCGCAAAGUAACCAGCACAUAACAAGAUUAAACAAAGGCACCUCAACGCCUGUAUCAUAUAGCAGUGCGACCUACUAAAGCAGGGCUCGCAGGCGCCAAAACGCCAAAGCACCAUGCAGACCUCAAGAAGGAAAGCUCAACCCUGGUAAAACCCAGGGGCAGCAAAGAACAGACAACACAUAAAACACUUAGGGGCAGUAGGAAGCCCUGAAAAAAAAAACAGGCGAUUACAAAUGAAGUCUAGGGAUUUACCCCCUCACCACUCAUGUAAUAAAUGUUGAGGAGGAAAAAGGGCAAUCUGAGGAGAAACCCCAUGGCGUGAGCAAAUGAGACCCUAGCUUCAGCUCCUGUCAAAUCAGAACUAAAAGCAAAAAGGCCAGCCCGACUCAUCACCUCAAAAGAUCGCAAGUUUAACCCACUAUUAGAAACAGAGCUCGCAGGCACGGCCAGUUCAGCUCGGAAACGGGUACGGUUAGUCCAGCUCGGAAGGAGUAUACGGGUAAGUAUGCCUUAGUGAAAUAGAUAAAUUUAUAAGACAAAAGUCCUGUCAAUUGUUAAUAUCUCAGUAAUGACGAGCUUGAAGGAAAAAAGGAAAGACAGUAUAGUGGAUCCCUCAGAGAAAAUUAUGAAGCAUGCAGUUUAAGUAUUUCAUUUAUAAGCAGAGAUAAGUUCAAGAAUGAACGAAAAACAAGAAGUAGUUCAAGUGGAGGCAAUUAUAAUUUCAUUAAAGAAAAAACGUAUUACAAUCUACUUAUCUGCUAAGGUUGAAGGAAAAACAGUCCUUAAGGGACUUACAUUUCUAGGAACAUCGUCAUCUACACUAUCUUUAUUUACAUUUACAUUAACAUCUGAAGGAGGUCUGGCAUCCUCCAGCUCAGACCCCUCAGUGCCAACAAAAGGCACAGUCUCUAGCCCUGAAGGACUAGCACCUUCCUCUCCUAGCUCUACAUCCCUUUCUUGAGGCCCGGAGUCAUCCUCCUCAGGUUCGAGGACGUCCACACUUUCCCCAUCUAGCUCGGAUUCCUUUGAAGAAGAUUCAGUUGCAAUGCGAGAGGUUCCUCUGGGCAAGGGAAAGUCGUCCUCCCCGUAUAGCACAUUUUCGCCGUCAGAGUCCAUCUCAGCAGCUCGGAGCUUCGCUAGAGGGAUAUCAAGAGCAAGCCUGGCUUCUCUUAAACCCCGAUUGAAGCCAGUCGCGAACAUGCAGAAGCUUUUUUGCCAAACAGCAAUCUUCAUCUCAUCAGAGGCUUUAUACUCCGCAAGUUGUGACUCACAGGCCUUAGCUAUAAUUGCCUUCAGCUCAGGAGAAUCCUUAUAAUCUUGUAGGUGAGCUUCACAGGCCUGCUCAAUCUUCCUUUUUAGCUCAUCCGACUCCUGAUACUCCGUCAGACGCCUCUCACACUCCAGCUGGAUCUUGUCCUCAGCAUGUCUGGUCUCCUCGAGCAGAGCUGAACAUUUACGUUCUAAAGUCCUGACUUCAUGGCUGAGCUGUUGAUUACGAAGUUUGGACUCCUCCGCCGAUGAAGCCAGGUCUCUGAUAUGUUCAGAGCUCGUGCUCAGCUCCUACUUGAGGAUUUCCACUCGAGCCAGGGCCCCCUCUUUUUGAAUCUUCACCUUAUCAAGGUGAGCCUGAAUUUCUUCGAAAUCAGCCUUCAGGGCCUCAUACUGGCGCUGGACCUCAUCCUUUUGGCUUAUAGCCUCGUUCCUCUCACGAAGGGUCUCCACCAUGGAGGACAACUGCUUCAAAACUUCCUCACAGCGAACCUCAGCUGCAGCUACCCUCUCAUCAGAUUCCUUCAGGACCUCUUGAGUGUGAGACAACUCCGCCUCCAGGGAUUUAGCGUGUUCCUGCGCCUCAGAGGCCCUCACAUCAGCCCUCUUGAGAGCCUCCAAGGCUGUAUGUAGCUCAAGCCGGAGGGAUUCAGAGUGCUUUCGAGCAGCAGUGAGAUUGCCUUUGGCGUCGCUGGUGGCAGACAAGUUCUCCUCCAGACGCGCCUCCUCAAUCCGGCGAUUCACAGACUCCCGGAGAGAGUGGUCGCGAGCAUCCACCUCCAUGAAGAGGCCCGUCACCUAGUACAAAAAGACAACCAUCAGAAGAAAGAAAUAAAGAAAGCCAGAAAGGAAACGGAAAGACGACUUUACCAUCAGAAGCAUCUCCCUAAUCAUAUCCCCGAGCUCCUCCUGAGGUCGAGAUCGGAACGCUGCUUACUCCUUAGUAGAACUGGCUAGAAGACCAGUGAUGUAACGACCCGGAAAUCGGACCGCUACCGACGCUAGGAUCUAGAUCGGCUUAAGGCCACCGGGACCCGUAGCAAGCCAAACAUUCAUCCUGUGAACCUGAUUAAUCCCAUACAUGAUCAACAACAUACAUAAAAAUUUGAACUUUCCUUUCCAUUUAUUCAUUCUCCAAACUCAACCUGAGCAUGCACUAUACAUAAACAUAAUCAUAAACAUUAACCCCUCCUUGGAGUCUCAUCAAUGCUCCAAUGGGGUGACAUAACAUGAAUUAAGUUUGGUUUACAAAAGCAUCAAAAAGAUCAUGUACUCCAAGGGAUUAAUAACAUUACACUAUAGUCAAGCACAAUUCUAAACUUCCAUAAGCAUCAUUACAUUACCAUACUUUUACAUGAUUGUACUCAACAUAACAUAUCACCAUUUUUCAUGUCCACACUAGCUAUUACAUGACCAUGACUUCAUUACUCUUGCUGACCUCCUGGUCUACCCUGUACCUGCAAACCUGGGGGUUAAGGGAGAGGGGUGAGCUACUAGAGCCCAGUGAGCAGAAUAAUAAACUAUUGUAUUUAAAACAUAUGAUAUCAUGGAAUGCGUCACAACACAAACAAAUCACAUCAAGGAUGGACUUGUCGCCAAUGACCCUCAUCAUAAUCCAAUCAUGCCAGGGGCGUAGUGCAGGCCACACCUGGUCUUUCCCCUAAACAUAACAUGUCAUACAUAUCCAAUAAUGCCGGGGGCGUAGUGGAGGCCACACCCGGACUUUCCCUUACAUAGUGCCAGGGGCGUAGUGCAGGCCACACCUGGACUUCCAUAUCAUAUCAUAUCUCAUCAUACUGAGGACCAAUGGGUCAUCCAACAUCCAUCCACAUUAACAUUAAGAUAUGCAAUGCAACAUAUUCGUGGAUUCUAAUGCAAACAACCUAAAAUAUCACAUGGCAUUCGUGAUGCAUGAAUCAUGUUGAAACUUGUAUUAAUUUAAAACAUAAGGUUUAUUCCACUCACCUCUGGCUAGCUCUGACAAGACUCUGAAGUAGUUGACUCACUGCUGGGGUCCUCGGUUCCUCGGGUCCGAGCCUACACAGGUGGACUCAAAUGAGGGACCAAACAUCUAUGAUCAAGACUCUAAAAUACUCCCCAAAAACCCCCUAAAACACCUCAAAACAUCCAUAGAAAACAUGCAAAGGAAGGCUGAACAGGGCACUUUCGGUGGCCGAAAGUCUCUCCAGAGCCGAAAGUCAUGCAGGUUCGGCGGCACCUUCGGCGGCCGAAAGUGCCCUCCAGAGACGAAAGUCCAUUUUUUGGGGCAGGCUUCGGCAGCCGAAAGGCUUGCCUCACAGACAGGUUCGGCGGCCGAAAAUCCUUUCGGCUGCCGAACCUGGUUUCUCCCAAAGGGCAUAAACUCAGCUCUUCAAUGCACACUUUCCUCCCAAACCUUCCAAUCAAGCAUCCAACUCUCUCAAAGCAUGCAUACACACAUACAUCAACACCUAGGGGUCUCAAACUAUCUUAAACCCCAACUACAACACAUCAAACAUGCAUAUCCAACACACAUUGUCCAUAUAAUCACAUAAAACCUAACAAAGCUCAACUAACCUAAACAUGCAUUUCUACCCCAUAAAUCAACUUAAAACUUGUUUAAAACAUACAAUGAGCUCAAGAUCGGCUCUUACCUCAUGAAGAUCGAGAGAGAGACGACCUAAACUUGGAAACCAAAGGAAAGGAGCUCCUGAGUCUUCCAAGCCUCAAAACUUGCUUUAAUGCUCAAAAAUCUUCAAAACAAAGUGAAAACUCAUGAAAAUCAUGAAAGAUUUGUAGGAAGAGACUCAAAAUCGGCGAGGGACGGCGGAGAACUCACCUUGGCUGAAAAUGGGGAGAAAAGCUCGCCCGUUCGGACAAGGGGACCCUUUUAUAGGUGGCUGGCCAGGCCACUUUUGGGGGCCUAACGUGCCUCCGCAUGCAUGCCAUGUUCGGCGGCCGAACAUAAGGUUCGGCGGCCGAACCUGGACUUCCCUCACUUAUGCCUUCGGGGGCCUAAACCACUCCCAAAGUGCAUGCAUGUUCGGCGGCCGAAUCUGAGUCUUCCUCUCAAGACUAUUUUCAUUCAAAACUUAAUUUCUUUCUUGCUUAAAACCAUAAAAUACAUUAAAACAAUUUAUGAAAACAUGGUUUUACCCUUCUAGAGGUUUUCGACAUCCGAGAUUCCACCGGACAGUAGGAAUUUCGAUACUGGAGUCUAGCCGGGUAUUACAAGUGAGGGCAAGCAGGCAUGGAUCUGAAGCCUCCGUAAUGCCACCAAACAUUCGCUCUCUGAGAAUUUCGGCAACUACACUGGUUGGAGAUUGGUGGGUGAUGUCCUCCACGUUCAGAAUAUCAUUGUCAGGAGCAAACAACAGAGGUACUACGGGGACAUCUUUUUCCUUCCCAAUAGGAGGGAGGGCUGGAGCUGAUCCUUUGGAAGCCCUGGACUUCUUUCGAGCAGGAGCUGGGGGAGAUAUUUCAGGAGGGGCUGGACGCUUGUCCCCGGUCUUCACUGUGACGCCUCCGUCAACAGAUCCAGAUCCAGUCCCCACAGGGGCAGGAGCAUCCCCGAUAGGGGCCUCCAGGACAUUCUCUUCCACAAGUACAACCUCCAUUCCCUUCCCUGGGGCUUCCUCUUCAAUAAUGGGGGACCCAAACCUUCCCCCUAGCACCUCCUCGGAAGAAAGAGCAAGAUCCGACCUUGCCUGUUCAAUGUCUUCUGUCUGCUUCGCAAUGACCCGUGGAGCUUCCCUCACCUCCUCUAUGAAAGCUUGAUUGGAUCUAGACUCCUGGGCAGGUUUAGGAGCCGAGGUCGACCUGCCACGGCUAGAUGGCCGAGAGGAUCCGGCACCGCGGGAGCUCGGCUUAGGAGCUCGAGAGGAAGCUCUGGCAGGAGGUCGGCUAACCUUCCUAGAAGAAACAAUCUGAGCCACUUCUUCAGCGACCUUAGACACGUAGUGUCCAGCCCGAAGGGCAUCUAAGGCGGCGUUCAUGCUCUCCCGGGACAUAACUAAGUUCUUUGGGGGCUUGAUCUGGUCCAUCUCGAAGUCUGAAGCUGCCGAAAAACACAAAAUCAGAAAAAGUUAGUGUACUUUAUAAUACCAGUUACGAGGAAAAAAUAGGACUGCUGGACAAAACACUAUACCUGUAUCUUGAAUAUCCCUAAGAUUAGACACGAACAUACACUUCUCGACGUCAUACUUCUUGUCAACAGAAGUCAGUCGAAGAUACCCCACCUGCUCGGUAAGACUUAGUUGGGGCAGGUCGUUGCAGCCCAAGGGGACAUCCUCCCAAUCUAGCCCCACUCCCCACGACAAGUCGGUCUCUUUUCUCAGCUCUGCCACAAGGAAACUCUCUACCCAUCCCUUUAUUGAGUCCUUGUAGCCCGUGAAAAUGGACAACCCACCACGGGGGGCAAAAUAGUAAAAAUUCUGAAUCGCCCUAACGAGACAGAAGAAAGUGACGAAUAGACAUGCCGUGGGUGUAAAACCCCAACUCAAGCAGAUAGAUUCAAAACAACACAUGAACAAAAUAGAAUUUGGAGACAACAUCCGGGGGGUUAUCCCGAAGUAUUGGAAAACCUCGAUGAAGAAAGGGGUAAAAGGGAAAGUCAGACCAAAGUCCCUCUGCUUAAGGAAGAAGACUAAGCUACGACCCUUCUGGGGAUCUAUUAAAUCGGGAGGGGAAGGGUUUGGAAGAACUAUCCUCUCAUUUUGUAAAGGAGCACGAAUAUAGUAAAGCGGAGUAUCUAAAUAUCUCCGAGAAAUAUACUUAGUUAUGGUAGAGGGAGUGAUGUUUGACUCAAGAUUAGAAACAUCGGGAAGUUUAGGACCUUCCAUGGAGGAAUAAGAAAGCGUACCUGAAACACAAUAAGGAUGAAUAAGCAGAAGAGGUCGAAGGAGAACAGAGAGCAGAAGAGAGCAAGUUUUCUUGGGAGACUGAGAGAACUCAAAAUGGGGAACGGUAAUGAGACGAAGAGUUGUUCUGAACAGUUUUGUCCUGGAGCGGCGCGGUCAUUAUUACUCUCGAUAUUUACCCCCUCGUCAGUCAGACAAUAACUGACGAGAAGGUAAAGGGGCAAUUGAUGACCGCUGGAUUUUUCCACCCCGGACUGGGGGCAAGCCCAUAUCGUGAGCCCAUCGUUUGGGGCCUCCCCCGUGAGACUGGUCCAGCCCGUCCCCCUCCAGAUCAGACUCCAAUCAGUUUCCUCAAUCAGGCCGGCCUAACCUCUUGGGCCCGAUGAAUAGAUCCUUCCUGGGCUCAGCUCACGACUUAUCUUCCGGUCUAGUCCGGAAUCAGGAGGAAAACCCACCUGUCCGUCAUGUGGGUCCAUACGCAUGCGCGUAUGGGGAGAAUCAGGGGCUGUUAUGCAUGGGACAGAGAUCCGAUUCCCUCGUACGUCCAUAUCAACGUAGCCAGGACAGGUGGUCCAAUGAUACACGUUCUGCUACAUGUCACUAGCUGCCAAAAGGAAACAUAUAAAAGGAGAAAUACUCUCCUCUAGGUCUAAGUUUUUUCCAGUCUUACAGAACCCAUUGUAAAACCCUAUUUUCUGGAUCUUAGAUCAUCAAAUAUAAUUGAUUCGAUUUAUUUUGAUUUGACCGGUUUUAGUAUUCUAAACAAAUAUUUUAAUCUUGAUUACAAAUGAAGCUAUUUUGUAUCUAAUUUUACAGAUAUAGAAAUCCUUAAUAUUAAAUUUCAAUAGUAUUAAUGUUGAAAAGAUUAUGGUAUGAAUUUAAAAAAUUAUUAUUUUUUAUGAGAUUUUUUAACAAAUAUUUUUUAAUCUGUGAAUACAGAUAUUUUUAAUUGAUAUUAUUGUACAAAUUUUAAAAUUAUUAAUUUAUGAAUUGAUAUAUUAUUUUUAAAUAUCAAUUUGAAAAUUUCUGAUAAAUAUAAAAAGUAAUACUUUAUAAUAUAAAUAUAAAAAAUAAUACUUUAUAAUAUAAAUAUAAAAAAUAAUACUUUAUAAUAUAAAUAUAUUAAAUUCUAUUUCUAUUUAUAAUGAGAAUUUAUUAGUAAUUUUAAAAUAUUCCUUAUGAAUAAAUAUUAGUAACAAUAAUUUAAAUUUUUUAUUUUUUAUUCUUAAUUAAAUAAAAAUAAUUAAAAUUAUUUAAAAUUAAUAAAAUAAUCAUAAAAGUAAUAAUAAAUAUAAUUUGAUUUAAUUAAAAAUAUCUCCCCAUAUAACCUCUCAAUUUUUAAAAAAUACCAUAAAUAAAUAUCUUUAAAAAAUGUCUAUUAUUUUCUGUUCAAUAAUUAAUUUUAAAUUAAUAUUCAGUAUUUUAAUUUAGUUAAAACACUAUUAUUUAAUAAUUGAAAAAAUAAUUUAUAAAAAACUAUUUAUUAUGAUAUUUAAUUAACUAUUAACUGACCACAUAUUCACAACUCUACAUUAUUUCAAAAUCCUUUUCCUAAUCUAAUUACACUUCCUCAUGAAUAUUUCCAUUAAGAGAAGGAAACCUAAUUUUUCUGAGUAAUGGUCUGAAAAAAUUGACACAAACAACACCCACACAUAACACAUACGUUCAUCAAAAACCCUUCUCUGAUUUUCUGUUUGGUGUCAAUCUAAUGGAACAAAAUCAGAACAAGAACAAAGGAGUUGCUGCAGAUUGCAGUACUAGUAGCGAUGACGUUGAGAGAUAUUUCAACUCGUUGCCUGUUGGGUAUCGAUUCGCUCCUAGUGAUGAUGAGCUGAUUCGUUAUUAUUUACUGAGAAAGAUCAACAAUGAACACUUGCCUCCUAAUAGAAUUCAUGUGGUUGAUUUAUAUAACUAUAGCCCUCAACAGCUCGCAGGUACGUCGCAUUAAUUUUGCAUGCACGCACAUAUGCAUGUCCUUCUUCUUCUUCAAUAAUGUAAUUUUUUUUUUUGGGUUUUCUUUGUUUUGCUGCAGAAACCUAUAAACUGAAUAGAGAAAGAGAAAGCCAGUGGUAUUUUUUCACGAGUAGGGAGAAAAAGUACCCGAAUGGAUCUAGACCGAAACGAAACGCAGGGGAAUUAGGAUAUUGGAAGGCUACAGGAACUGAUAAAGCAAUCCUAGAUGGAAAAAAACCUCUGGGAUUCAGAAAGUCUUUGGACUAUUAUGAGGGGAGGCAGCGUGAUGGAACCAAAACCAACUGGAAGAUGCAUGAAUAUCUUCUUCAUCAAAGCCUUGUUCCUUCAGGCGCUACGGCCAGAGGCAAAAACCCACUGCAGCCUAACCAGGUAUUCAUCAUUUUUUUUUUCUAUAAAAAAUUUAUUAUUUAGUUUAUUUCAUUAGUUUGUCCAUCAUUUAACCUUUUCUUAUUUGUUAUCAGAAAACUCAUUAUUAGUAAAAAAAAGAAUUUAUUAUUUAGUAUCUUGAUAUUGAGAGAAUUUGAGACUUUUGCAUAUGGCUAAAAUUAAAUUAAUAGAGUGAUUAAUUAUUAAUUUUUUUUAAAAUUUUAAAAAUGUUUUAAUAUAUUUUUUAUUGAUUGAUUAAUUAAUGAGUUUAAAUAAUCAGUUAAUUUUUUAUAUUAUAUAAAUAUUUUAAUAGAUUUCUUAAAAAAUUCAAUAAUUAUUGAUAAAUUAUGUAACUAUUCUUUAUUAUAACCAUAAAAUUAUGUUAACUAGAAAAAAAAAUUAAUUUUUAUGUGUUUAUAUAUUUUUUGGGUCAGUUGAAUGAAUGGGUUCUCAGCAAGAUCUACAACAACAAAGCAGAAGACAAGAAAAAUAAGAAUGAUGAAGAUGGAGGAACUGUAAAUGCAGAAACAGAAAUUCCACAUGCUGAUGAUUCCACUGCACAGCCUCUACCGUGUGAUAAUUCUUUGAUGAUUUCUAAAGAAUACGAGAAUGGUUAUGGGUCUUAUUUGCUUCCUCCUCUUUCUUCUGAUCCUCCUCUUUCUUCUGAUCCUCCUCGGCCAAUCUUGAAUAACAUGGACUAUAAUCCUCCAUCAAUGGACAACACAUUCAAUAAUAUCUUUGCCUAUAAUGUGCAACCAAUCCAAAUCUAUUACCCUCAUUCUCAUUAUAGCAAUGGCUUUCAACCCAUGUAUGGAUGUGGGGAUCAAGUUUCUGAUAUUAACUGCAUGGAGAUGGCCACCAUGAAUGAUCAUCUUUUACCUCCAGCUGAGGAACCCGCCUAUGGACGUGGGGAUCAAGUUUGGGAUAUUAACUGCAUGCAGACGGCCGCCAUGAAUGGUCAUCUUUUAAUGCCAGAUGGGGAACACAUCUAUGGAUGCGGGGAUCAGCUUUGUGAUGUUAACUGGAUGGAGACGGCCGCUAUGAAUGGUGAUCUUUUAGUGAUAGCUGAGGAACCCAGUCCGUUGCUCGAACCUGCAUUUGCUGAGACGAGUACCAGGGAAUUUGAUGGUCAACCUAGCUCUUCAAAUCAGCCUAUGCCUGUUGAAGGAGCUUAUGAUCAUGCAUCUUCAUUUCACAGAGAGGAGGAGAGGCAGAACUCACUGUUUGAUAUGGUGCAUUAUUCUGGAUAAAUUUUGUAAAUCCCAUUAUGGAUCUUUUUUUUUUUCAUCUGACUAUUCUAAAAAAAUUUUUAAAAAAAUGAUAAUAAAAAGUACCAUGGUUUAAUGCAUAUUUUAUUUCAUAGUAUGAAGUAUACUUUAUGAUAAAAAAUCAUAAGGCAUGAUAUGAUAGGGAAUAAUUAAUAUUAAGUUUUAUAAUAAAUUUAAAUUAUAAUUUAACUUUUAGUACCACAUUCGUCGAAGGUCUAGGAUAACCUUUCAAAAAAAAAAAUUUCAACUUUCAAAAGUUUACGGUUCUAAUAUGAAGCGAUUAAUCUUAGAUUUUAUAAUAAAUUUGAAUCGGGUUUAAUUUCUACUGCUAACUUUUAUUGGAAGUUCAUAAUAAUUUUUUGAAAAAAUAUUUUAUGAUGUACGAUUUUUUAAAGUUAUAAAUUUAUCACAAAAUUUAAGAUCAAAAUUCUAUUAAGUCAGUUUUGUCACAAAAUUCAAAUAUAAAAUUUUAUUGUUAAAAGAGUUAAUAUAAUUUUAUUAUUCUUUUAGAUUUUUUCUUAAUUUUUUAUAUUAAGAUUUUUUCUAUUAUAAAUAAUUAUUUUUUACUUUUUAAUUUUCAAAAAUUUAAUAAAAAAUUUUGAUUUUUAACUUUUUAUUCUCUAAAUUUCAUUUUAAUUAAAUUUUAUUGAUUAAAAUUUUUUUAAAAGUCUAAAUAGUUUUAUUUCAAAUAAUAUUAUAAAUUAAUCAUGAACGUCUUUCGAAAUAUUAUUGUUUGUUGACAGUGUUUGUUAAUAGUAUAUUUGUAGUGUCUCAAAUUGAUUAUUUAUAAAAAAAUUGAUAGAUUUAUAAAUAGUUAAUAAAAAUAUUAAAUUGAAUUAAUCAUUUUGAACAAAUUGAAAAACGAAUGAACGAGAUUGGUAUUUCUCACAUCGGUUAUUUACAUGAUAAUUUUAUAAAUAGUUAAUAAAAAUUAUUAAAUAAUUAAAAUUAAUUAUUUUGAAUAAAAUAAAAAAUAAAUUAAAAAUUUAUUUAAAUCGAUUUAAACUGAGUAUUAAUAUAAUAUACUAUUUUAUUAUAAAAUUAAUUUUAGAUUUUGAAAUUAAAAAUAAGCUUUUUUUUAUAAUUUUUAAAAUAAUAAAGUCCGACUAUUUUAGCAAUUUAUAUAUGUGCAAAAAAGUUGGAAUGAGGUAUUUUUAAAGUAAAUUAUAUUUUAAUACUUAAUUUUUAAUGUAAUUAAAUUUCUGUUUUUUCUCUUUAGAAAUUUGAUUUUUUUUUUUUAUUCAUUGUCCUCUUUGAUUAUUUGUUGAUGCUGAGAUGUUUUGUGAAAUGUAUACAUGUUUGUUUGAGAAAUUGAUUGAUGAAAUUCAAUAAACGAAAAUUUUAGAACAGUUAUUUUCCAUUUUAUUAUUAAUUUAAUAAAUUUUAUAAAUAAAAAAAUUAUAAUUUAUGAGAAUAUAUUUAUUAAUUAUAUUAAAAUUAAAGACUAAAAAGUAAUUUAUUCUGAUUUAAUUAUUAAUUUUUUACAAGUUAAUUUUCUAAUACACAAGUUUCAUCAAUGUCAGACGUAAUGAGCCCCGUAGUUUUAUAUACAUUAAUUUAUUUAUUUGAGAUAAAAUAUGUAAUUUUACUCUUCAACUUUACUUAGAAGUCUGUUGAUACCAUAAUUUUAUUUUUUAUAAAAUUGUAAUUAUUUAAUCCGUACUAAUGUUUUAAAUUUUUAGAAAUUAAAUAAUUAUAUUUUAUAACAUUUAUAAAAUUUAAAUUACUAGUUAAUUCUCAUUACAACUAUAAAUAAAAAUUUAAUAUAUUUAUAUUAUAAAGUACUAUUUUUUAUAUUUAUAUUAUAAAGUAUUACUUUUUAUAUUUAUCAGAAAUUUUCAACAACGGUUUAAUUAUAAUUGAUAUUUAAAAAUAAUAUAUCAAUUCAUAAAUUAAUAAUUUUAAAAUUUGUACAAUAAUAUCAAUUAAAAAUAUCUAUAUUCACAGAUUAAAAAAUAUUUUUUAAAAAAUCUCAUAAAAAAUAAUAAUUUUUUAAAUUCAUACCAUAAUCUUUUCAACAUUAAUAUUAUUGAAAUCUAAUUUUAAGGAUUUCUAUAUCUGUAAAAUUAAAUACAAAUAGCUUCAUUUAUAAUCAAGAUUAAAAUAUUUAUUUAGAAUACUAAAACCGGUCAAAUCAAAAUAAAUCGAAUUAAUUCGAUUCAAAUUAAUUUUUAUUCAAAAUCGAUUCAAUUUAAUUUUUAAUAUACUAAAAUUUUGAUUUUUUAUCAAACCGAAACAAUCGAAUACUCACCCUACCUACUAGCUUUUGAAGAGUCAGCAAUUAGAUUCGAUAAUAACGUGUUGGAAUUGACACAAUUUAACAGAAAUCUAAAUUCUUUUCUGUUAGUUUUUAUAACUGAAAUAGAGUAAAAAAAAACACAGCCAUAUUAGAUUCUCAUCAUUCCAACCACUUUGAUCUUCUUUUGUUUUUAUGGUUCACAUAGGCUAUAGACUCAUGAGCCCACCACACCUUAUAUAUCUAUUUUGCUGGUUAACCACUUGUCAAAGGAUAGAGACAUGUUAAACCGACGCUUCACCUUGACAUGUUGAUUUUCAAACAUAGAUCAGCAUGAAACAGGCUCAUGUCUAGCCUUUGUGAUUAUAAAACCGAGCCACUACUUUGCCUUCUACCCAUCACAAGAUCAGCAUUCAGAUUUCACNNNNNNNNNNNNNNNNNNNNNNNNNNNNNNNNNNNNNNNNNNNNNNNNNNNNNNNNNNNNNNNNNNNNNNNNNNNNNNNNNNNNNNNNNNNNNNNNNNNNNNNNNNNNNNNNNNNNNNNNNNNNNNNNNNNNNNNNNNNNNNNNNNNNNNNNNNNNNNNNNNNNNNNNNNNNNNNNNNNNNNNNNNNNNNNNNNNNNNNNNNNNNNNNNNNNNNNNNNNNNNNNNNNNNNNNNNNNNNNNNNNNNNNNNNNNNNNNNNNNNNNNNNNNNNNNNNNNNNNNNNNNNNNNNNNNNNNNNNNNNNNNNNNNNNNNNNNNNNNNNNNNNNNNNNNNNNNNNNNNNNNNNNNNNNNNNNNNNNNNNNNNNNNNNNNNNNNNNNNNNNNNNNNNNNNNNNNNNNNNNNNNNNNNNNNNNNNNNNNNNNNNNNNNNNNNNNNNNNNNNNNNNNNNNNNNNNNNNNNNNNNNNNNNNNNNNNNNNNNNNNNNNNNNNNNNNNNNNNNNNNNNNNNNNNNNNNNNNNNNNNNNNNNNNNNNNNNNNNNNNNNNNNNNNNNNNNNNNNNNNNNNNNNNNNNNNNNNNNNNNNNNNNNNNNNNNNNNNNNNNNNNNNNNNNNNNNNNNNNNNNNNNNNNNNNNNNNNNNNNNNNCUUUUUUUUUUUUUUAACUGUCUGAUCAAGUUCAUGUACCCAUAUACCCAUAAUUAGAAUAUUCCAAUCCCAUCAAAGUCAAAAACACAGUUCCUUCUUUGAUUCUUGAACAAUAGGAAUUUAAUUUUAAAGGAUUUAUUACUUUGUUCAGUGUUGCAGUCAUGACGAGAGCUUUCCCUGACUAUUCAGCAAGCAAGAAGGACCUUAUCCUUUUGCAAAAUAUAGCAAGUUAUAUGCUUCUUGCAUGUGGUGUUGUCUAUCUUGUUUCGGUAAGAUAACAAAAAUAAGUAUUUACCCCCUACUUUUAACUUAACUGUUUUGGAGUUUGAAGAAACUUUUAUCUCAGGUUAUAUGAUGAUGAAUUUCCUUUCUGUUACCUGAGAACUUUUAUCAAGCAAUGGCCAACCACCACAACCAGUCUACGAG